GGGAACCUCACCCGGCCCGGACACCGCGAGGAUUGACAGACUGAGAGCUCUUUCUCGAUUCGGUGGGUGGUGGUGCAUGGCCGUUCUUAGUUGGUGGAGCGAUCUGUCUGGUUAAUUCCGUUAACGAACGAGACCUUAACCUGCUAAAUAGUGACGCGGUUCAUCGAACCGUGGGCCACUUCUUAGAGGGACUAUCGGAUUCAAACCGAUGGAAGUGUGAGGCAAUAA
Molecule: ribosomal RNA, 228 nt
Filed under: uncultured eukaryote
Lineage: Eukaryota
Description: partial 18S ribosomal RNA
Rfam family: Eukaryotic small subunit ribosomal RNA
Source: RNAcentral